This 254-nucleotide ribosomal RNA is filed under the name uncultured bacterium. RNAcentral's name for it is "partial 16S ribosomal RNA". It matches the Rfam family "Bacterial small subunit ribosomal RNA", at positions 524 to 776 of the family's 1533-position model. The record is from RNAcentral.
UACGUAGGGAGCAAGCGUUGUCCGGAAUCAUUGGGCGUAAAGCGCGCGUAGGUGGCUUCGUAAGUCCGUUGUGAAAGUCAAAGGCUCAACCUUUGAAAGCCGAUGGAUACUGCGGAGCUAGAGUACGGAAGAGGCGAGUGGAAUUCCUGGUGUAGCGGUGGAAUGCGCAGAUAUCAGGAGGAACACCAAUAGCGAAGGCAGCUCGCUGGGACGUUUACUGACACUGAGGCGCGAAAGCGUGGGGAGCGAACAGG